GUUCGGUCCAAAACAAGCCGAGAGAUUAAAAGGAAAGAAAAGUCUUCACCCUAAAAAAUAAAAAAAGAAGCCACGCUCUCUCUCUUCUCUAGCGAAACGACUCCUCUUCAGAUCUAGAUCUAGCAGUCUUUAUUCAUCUUCUCGGCUUUCUCCGUUCUCUCGGAUGAUUUUCAAGUUUCUCGAUUUGCUAUCUUCUCCGACUGGAUGCGAGAGAAAUCUGAAAGCCAUCUGGCAAUACAAACCAUUGACGUUCUCUCUCCCAUCGGUGAAGCACCAUGGUAGAUCCAUUAUCAUGUUGGGCUCUUCAGCUGUAGGUUUGGUUGUUCCGCUGACCUGCUCUCAGCCAAAGCAUCGUUCCCGUUGAAGAUCGAAGCUUUUUCAGGCAGUCACUCCCUCUCUUUGGAGAACAAGCUUAUGUAGUUAUGUAUAUGCCAAAUGAUCGUACUUCUACCACAAAGUUGGAUAUAUAUGGAGUUUCAGUGAUAUUGCAGGUCCUUGAUCCCUACUCGUUAGUGAUGAAGUUCAUAUAUAGGUACAUGGAAUUUAUCAUUAGUGGUCUUUCAUGUGGAUCCAUAUAUGAAUGACUUAAAGGCAAGAUGAAGGAUGAGAACAGAAAUGACAGGAAUCCUGGAAAUGGUAACACUCUUCUAGUGCAGGUAAUUGUUCCCUGUCAUGUUUCUUGAAACUGUCUCAAAGGUAGUGGAUGAAGAUAUUGGAGAUGAUGAAACCAAGUUUUUGUGCCUCUACUGCCAUCUAAGAUCACAUAGGAUAUCAACCUGUAAUUAGGAUUUAUUUAGUUUGUUUUAAUUGUAGUUUAGUUCCACUGUUAUGAGUAACAGAUCAGUAAAUGUCCUCUUUUCUUUUCAAGGACAGUUUUUGUUCAUACCAAGACUUUUUUUUUUGUGUUCUGUAAUAGUUACAAUGACGUUUUUUUUAGAUUUCAGGACCUUUUUUCAGCGUCCUUGUAUAUAUAAGAUGACACUUUUUUCAGAUUUAA
Molecule: long non-coding RNA, 997 nt
Organism: Rosa chinensis
Lineage: Eukaryota; Viridiplantae; Streptophyta; Magnoliopsida; Rosales; Rosaceae
Exons: 5
Source: RefSeq, a predicted model, not a curated record